This 440-nucleotide ribosomal RNA is filed under the name uncultured bacterium. RNAcentral's name for it is "partial 16S ribosomal RNA". It matches the Rfam family "Bacterial small subunit ribosomal RNA", at positions 338 to 795 of the family's 1533-position model. The record is from RNAcentral.
CCUACGGGCGGCAGCAGUGGGGGAUAUUGCACAAUGGGGGAAACCCUGAUGCAGCGACGCCGCGUGUGGGAAGACGGUCCUCUGGAUUGUAAACCACUGUCCCCAGGGACGAAGAUGACGGUACCUGGGGAGGAAGCUCCGGCUAACAACGUGCCAGCAGCCGCGGUAAUACGUAGGGAGCGAGCGUUGUCCGGAAUUACUGGGUGUAAAGGGAGCGUAGGCGGGACUGCAAGUUGGGUGUCAAAUCUACCGGCUCAACCGGUAGCCGCACUCAAAACUGCAGUUCUUGAGUGAAGCAGAGGCAGGCGGAAUUCCUAGUGUAGCGGUGAAAUGCGUAGAUAUUAGGAGGAACACCAGUGGCGAAGGCGGCCUGCUGGGCUUUUACUGACGCUGAGGCUCGAAAGUGUGGGGAGCGAACAGGAUUAGAUACCCCUGUAGUC